RNAcentral lists this non-coding RNA (1601 nucleotides) under Ligilactobacillus hayakitensis DSM 18933 = JCM 14209. Its description in RNAcentral is "Lactobacillus hayakitensis DSM 18933 = JCM 14209 Bacterial large subunit ribosomal RNA". It matches the Rfam family "Bacterial large subunit ribosomal RNA", at positions 1 to 1597 of the family's 2925-position model. The record is from Rfam by way of RNAcentral. Lineage: Bacteria; Bacillati; Bacillota; Bacilli; Lactobacillales; Lactobacillaceae.
GGUUAAGUUAUUAAGGGCGUAUGGUGGAUGCCUUGGCACUAGGAGCCGAUGAAGGACGUGACUAACUGCGAUAUGCUUCGGGGAGUUGUAAGUAAACUGUGAUCCGGAGAUUUCCGAAUGGGGAAACCCAGCAGGUUUUACCGCCUGUUAUCGCUAAGUGAAUUCAUAGCUUAGUUGAAGGUAGACGUGGGGAACUGAAACAUCUAAGUACCCACAGGAAGAGAAAGAAAUUCGAUUCCCUCAGUAGCGGCGAGCGAACAGGGAAGAGCCCAAACCAAGAAGCUUGCUUCUUGGGGUUGUAGGACUGAACAUUUGAGUUACCAAGAAACGAAGUAGCUGAAUAACCUGGGAAGGUUAGCCAAAGAGAGUGAUAGCCUCGUAAGCGAAACUUCGUUUCCUCAGUUCAGGAUCCUGAGUACGGCGGGACACGUGAAACCCCGUCGGAAUCCGGGAGGACCAUCUCCCAAGGCUAAAUACUACCUAGUGACCGAUAGUGAACCAGUACCGUGAGGGAAAGGUGAAAAGCACCCCGGGAGGGGAGUGAAAUAGUUCCUGAAACCAUAUGCCUACAAGUAGUCAGAGCUCGUUAAUGAGUGAUGGCGUGCCUUUUGUAGAAUGAACCGGCGAGUUACGUUAGCAUGCGAGGUUAAGGUGGAAAGACCGGAGCCGUAGCGAAAGCGAGUCUGAAUAGGGCGCUUUAGUAUGUUGACGUAGACCCGAAACCAGGUGACCUACCCAUGUCCAGGUUGAAGGUGCGGUAAAACGCACUGGAGGACCGAACCCGUGUAUGUUGAAAAAUGCUGGGAUGAGGUGUGGGUAGAGGUGAAAUUCCAAACGAACUUGGAGAUAGCUGGUUCUCUCCGAAAUAGCUUUAGGGCUAGCCUCGGAGUUGAGAAUCGUGGAGGUAGAGCACUGUUUGGACUAGGGGCCCAUCUAGGGUUACUGAAUUCAGAUAAACUCCGAAUGCCACUGAUUUAUAUCCGGGAGUCAGACUGCGAGUGAUAAGAUCCGUAGUCGAAAGGGAAACAGCCCAGACCACCGAUUAAGGUCCCUAAAUAUGUGUUAAGUGGAAAAGGAUGUGGAAUUGCACAGACAACUAGGAUGUUGGCUUAGAAGCAGCCACCAUUUAAAGAGUGCGUAAUAGCUCACUAGUCGAGUGAUCCUGCGCCGAAAAUGUAACGGGGCUAAACACAUUACCGAAAUCGUGGAUGUACCGUAAGGUACAUGGUAGGAGAGCGUUCUAAGGGCGACGAAGCUAGACCGUAAGGACUGGUGGAGCGCUUAGAAGUGAGAAUGCCGGUAUGAGUAGCGAAAGACCAGUGAGAAUCUGGUCCACCGUAUGACUAAGGUUUCCUGGGGAAGGCUCGUCCUCCCAGGGUUAGUCGGGACCUAAGCCGAGGCCGAGAGGCGUAGGCGAUGGAUAACAGGUUGAGAUUCCUGUACUAGUUAAACUUGUUUGAACAAUGGAGGGACGCAGGAGGCUAAAGAUGCGCACUGUUGGAUAUGUGCGUCCAAGCAAUAAGUCUUUGAAAGAGUCAAAUGCUUUUUCAUCUAAGGACAAGUUGUGAUGGGGAGCGAAAUUAAAGUAGCGAAGUGAUUGA